CUACUUCUAAAACUAGCAACAUAACAUUUCCUUUAAAAUGUCAACAAACUUUCAAGAAAUGCUGCGGUCCUGGCCUGUCUGAUCUACAGUAAGCUCCAAAGUGAGUUGAGAAGACAUACACCAAAGUUAUCUACCUAUUGGCUUGCAAGGACUUACUGGCCAAAGCAAAAUUACAGAGAUGCCAUCCCUGCAGAAGUUUUGUGUAGAGAAACAUUUCUUCAUGGACUUUGUGGAAGAGACCCUGAUUCAAGGAUUUAAAUGCAGCCUAUUGUGACAUGUGAGGUUGCUUGUGAGGUGCCUGCAGCACUCACAGAAGAGAGACAGAGAUUCGGGCAGAAGAGAGACAGGGACAGCCUCUGUAUGGGAGGAACACAGAAGCAGAGCAGCAGACGGAGGUCAGAGGGACAGAAUCUGCUGGUUUCCCAGAAUCUAUCCAGCUUAAUUGGAAAGCAAAGCCUACCCAGGAAUGAACGGAGGUGGCUGGAAAAUGUUCUCUCUGUUCUGAUUACAAGGGCUGGAAAGGCAUUGGUGAAUUGGGCUGACUGCAAAGAGAGUGUAUAUGUCGAUAGCUUCUGGGGAUGCAGCCACACCAUGAAUAUGAACUAAGUGGAAACCAGAGUGACCACGUCCUUGUCUGUCCUUGUCUGUCAUCUUGUCUGUCAUCCCCACUGGCUUCUGCUUCUGAGCUGCAGUCACAAAGUCCAUCACGGCCUGAGCCAUGAGCAGAGCACACCUGGAUGGGGAUCCUUCUUGGUGCGGCCAAAGUGUCUGAAGAUAUUUCCAAACUCAGAUUAUAUUUUCAUACUGCUAUGAUCUGAAUUUUAUCUCUCCUUAAAGUUCAUAUGCUAAAUCCAAAUGCUCAAGGAUGAUAGCAUUAGGAGGUGGGAUAUUUGGGAGGUGAUUAAACUAUAAGGAUGGAGCCUUCAGGGAUGGGAUUGGAUUUUUAUAAAAGAGGCUCCAGAGAGAUGUCUCAGCCCCUCCAUGUGAGGACACAGCAAGAAAGUGUAGAUUAUGAACCAGGAUGCAGGCUCUCAGCAGACCGAGAUCCCACCCACACCUUAAUCUUGGACUCCCAGCCUCCAGAACCAUGAGAAAUAAACUUUGUUGUUUAUAAGUCAUCUACUCUGUGGCAUUUUGUUAUAAAGCCCAAAGGGAUUAAGACACAGACAUUCAU
RNAcentral lists this long non-coding RNA (1174 nucleotides) under Ovis aries (sheep). RNAcentral describes it as "lncRNA (ENSOARG00000026421.1)". The record is from RNAcentral. Lineage: Eukaryota; Metazoa; Chordata; Mammalia; Artiodactyla; Bovidae.